UACGGAGGGUGCAAGCGUUAAUCGGAAUUACUGGGCGUAAAGCGCGCGUAGGCGGCUAGUUAAGCUAGAUGUGAAAUCCCUGGGCUCAACCUGGGAACUGCAUUUAGAACUGACUGGCUAGAGUGCAGAAGAGGAGUGUGGAAUUUCCGGUGUAGCGGUGAAAUGCGUAGAGAUCGGAAGGAACAUCAGUGGCGAAGGCGACACUCUGGUCUGACACUGACGCUGAGGUGCGAAAGCGUGGGUAGCAAACAGG
RNAcentral lists this ribosomal RNA (253 nucleotides) under uncultured bacterium. RNAcentral's name for it is "partial 16S ribosomal RNA". It matches the Rfam family "Bacterial small subunit ribosomal RNA", at positions 524 to 776 of the family's 1533-position model. The record is from RNAcentral.